RNAcentral lists this ribosomal RNA (271 nucleotides) under uncultured bacterium. Its description in RNAcentral is "partial 16S ribosomal RNA". It matches the Rfam family "Bacterial small subunit ribosomal RNA", at positions 524 to 794 of the family's 1533-position model. The record is from RNAcentral.
UACGGAGGGUGCAAGCGUUAUCCGGAUUCACUGGGUUUAAAGGGUGCGUAGGUGGACUUGUAAGUCAGCGGUGAAAGCCCGAUGCUUAACAUCGGAACUGCCAUUGAUACUGCAAGUCUUGAAUAUGUUUGAAGUGGGCGGAAUGUGUCGUGUAGCGGUGAAAUGCUUAGAUAUGACACAGAACACCGAUUGCGAAGGCAGCUCACUAAACCAUUAUUGACACUGAGGCACGAAAGCGUGGGGAGCAAACAGGAUUAGAAACCCCUGUAGU